Molecule: ribosomal RNA, 559 nt
Filed under: uncultured Spirochaetota bacterium
Lineage: Bacteria; Pseudomonadati; Spirochaetota
Description: bacterial SSU rRNA
Rfam family: Bacterial small subunit ribosomal RNA
Source: RNAcentral
GGCGGACUGGUGAGUAACACGUGGGUGAUCUACCCUUGGUUUGGGGAUAGCCCGUGGAAACAUGGGGUAAUACCGAAUACGUCGUCGUGGCUACGGCCAUGACGGGAAAGGCGCUAAGGCGCCGACCGAGGACGAGCCCGCGCCCCAUUAGCUAGUUGGUGAGGUAACGGCCCACCAAGGCGAUGAUGGGUAGCCGGCCUGAGAGGGUGUACGGCCACACUGGGACUGAGAUACGGCCCAGACUCCUACGGGAGGCAGCAGCUAAGAAUAUUCCGCAAUGGACGAAAGUCUGACGGAGCGACGCCGCGUGGAUGAAGAAGGCCGAAAGGUCGUAAAAUCCUUUUGUCGGGGAAGAAUAAGCGUGGGAGGGAAUGCCCGCGUGAUGACAUGAACCGGCGAAUAAGCCCCGGCUAACUACGUGCCAGCAGCCGCGGUAACACGUAGGGGGCAAGCGUUGUUCGGAAUUACUGGGCGUAAAGGGCAUGUAGGCGGUUUUGUAAGCCUGGCGUGAAAUUCUGCAGCUUAACUGUAGGACUGCGCUGGGAACUGCGAGACUGGA